UCUGUCAUUUCUUUAGGCCAAUA
RNAcentral lists this microRNA (23 nucleotides) under Callithrix jacchus (white-tufted-ear marmoset). Its description in RNAcentral is "Cja-Mir-192-P2_3p* (star (passenger))". Lineage: Eukaryota; Metazoa; Chordata; Mammalia; Primates; Cebidae. The record is from RNAcentral. RNAcentral also lists the same sequence under 3 other names.